CACUACAGCCAUGCCACCUUGAACAUGCCCAUCUCGUCUGAUCUCGGAAGCUAAACAGGGUUGGGCCUGGUUAGCAUUUGGAUGGGAGACCACCUAGGAACACCGGGUGCUGCAAUCU
RNAcentral lists this ribosomal RNA (118 nucleotides) under Pteropus alecto (black flying fox). The record is from RNAcentral. Lineage: Eukaryota; Metazoa; Chordata; Mammalia; Chiroptera; Pteropodidae.